CUGCAAAAAACAAAUUGCCAGAAAGAUAAAAAUUUAAGUGUUCAGUUUUCAACUCUGACUCUGCACCAAAAAUAAAUAUUGUAAUUCUGUAAACUGUAUCUACUAGUGUCCAAAAGCAGACAAAUAUGAUCUAUUCAUUUACCACUCGCACAAAAUCUUAACGUUACCUCGAGCUCCUAUCCAGACGAGUGGUAUAUUUUGGAGUGUUGUUCACAGUAUCGUGACAGUUGUGGGGGGGGGGGGGGCAGUUUGUGUAAAAGAAAUUCAAGGCCUCAAUAAAAAAUAACCUGCUCUGUUCAGCCAGUAGAUGUUAUUGAAUGCAACAAACCUCAUGAAAAUCGGUUCAUUGGGUGCUGACCAAGAUCAUUUCUAUAUUUUUAUAUAUUUUAAAACUCUAUGGUAAUGCUUUCUCUUAAAGGGACACUAACAUUAAAUCCAUUUAGACUGGUAUACCAAACUUCCCUUAUUUAAAUUAUGUGCUGAAACCUUAGUGAUGGUCUGUGCAGCGUCGCGGAUUUCAAUUCAUUUUUUGUUUUACAUUUCAACCAUUUUAGGCAAGAGAUGUUCUUGAUACUUGUUAGGUUAAGUCUUCUUCCUUCAGAAUUCAGUGUAGUCCUUUACUGGUCAACUAUUAACUAUAUCCGCGCAGAUGUUAUCAAAAUUCAUGAUGUCGCAGGUAGCUGGUGCAAGAAUUUUAGGGUGGCACUGCCACCAAUCCUUUCCUCACUACCAUCUAUCUGUCUUGCCAAGAUAAGACAUGGUAAGAGCUGCGGCUUUGCUAUUCCAAAAGCAUAAUUUACUGAUACAUCUUAAUAUUCUUUAUUGCCCUUUAAGUAGCAGCCACUGCACAUAGCCCUGGGAAGACAACAUGCAUUGCUUGGCAGGCAGGCGCAGUGUUUCCAGGUAGUCUUCUUUGCCAUUUAGGAACCUUAAGUUAAUUGCGUCCACUAAGACAGCAUGCCCCAUCAGUCCGCCAUAGACCAGCAGGGCAUCAUACUUGAAUUGCUUAAAUUAAGCAUAUUUGAGCCAUACAACAUUGAGGGAGAAAGAUGUCUGCCAUUGAAGUUCAGCUUCAUGAAGUUCAAGCUGGUAAUGUCAAAAUGAGCGCUUGACAUGUAGAUGUGUGCUAAAUGUAUGUGAUGCAAAUACAAGUGCCACCACUAUGCCUUGUCAAUCUUUGCCAUAUAACUAUGCAGCAACACAGCACUUAGCCAACAAUAACAGCAUUCACAUAACCAGUUUCAAAACCUUCCUAUCUUCCACGCAGUUUUCUUUUUUUCUUAACAUAUGCUGUGGUUAUGAGAAAUUGAUACAUCUAGCCAAGUAGAUGUGCAAUACAAAUGUUACUAGCACUCUGAAAGUGUUCCUUUCACAUUUGUAUGCUUUGUAAGUUUACAAAUCCUUGUGUGCCUAAUAAAAGUGCAAGUACUAUUUUCAGAGUUUGCUUUCUUGAGGUACUGUGACUGGUGAAUAAUAAAAGUGCUUACUUCUGUUUG
Long non-coding RNA from Dermacentor silvarum, 1496 nucleotides. RefSeq lists it as uncharacterized. The record is from RefSeq and is a predicted model, not a curated record. Lineage: Eukaryota; Metazoa; Arthropoda; Arachnida; Ixodida; Ixodidae. The transcript has 2 exons.